RNAcentral lists this ribosomal RNA (253 nucleotides) under uncultured bacterium. RNAcentral's name for it is "partial 16S ribosomal RNA". It matches the Rfam family "Bacterial small subunit ribosomal RNA", at positions 524 to 776 of the family's 1533-position model. The record is from RNAcentral.
UACGUAGGGCGCAAGCGUUGUCCGGAAUUAUUGGGCGUAAAGCGCGCGUAGGCGGUUACUCAAGUCGGAUGUGAAAGCCCUCGGCUUAACUGAGGAAGUGCACCCGAAACUGAGUAGCUAGAGUACUAAAGAGGGUCGCGGAAUUCCCGGUGUAGAGGUGAAAUUCGUAGAUAUCGGGAGGAACACCGGUGGCGAAGGCGGCGACCUGGGUAGAUACUGACGCUGAGGCGCGAAAGCGUGGGGAGCAAACAGG